GACGAACCGUGCGAACGUUAUUCGGAAUCACUGGGCUUAAAGCGCGUGUAGGCGGGACGGCACGUCGGCCGCUGAAAUCCCCCGGCUUAACCGGGGAACGGGCGCCGAUACGACCGGCCUGGAGGGACGUAGGGGGGGCCGGAACUUCCGGUGGAGCGGUGAAAUGCGUUGAGAUCGGAAGGAACGCCCGUGGCGAAAGCGGGCCCCUGGACGUCUACUGACGCUGAGACGCGAAAGCCAGGGGAGCGAACGGG
This 254-nucleotide ribosomal RNA is filed under the name uncultured bacterium. Its description in RNAcentral is "partial 16S ribosomal RNA". It matches the Rfam family "Bacterial small subunit ribosomal RNA", at positions 524 to 776 of the family's 1533-position model. The record is from RNAcentral.